UAGGACAUAAAGUUCCUAACUUGUCACUUUCUAGAAUAAAGUUAACAAAAAAAGUAGCAGGACUAAGAUAAGUUGUUAUGCUUCCAAAGGUAGUUGAGUUGCUUCCAUUCUUCGCCAUUGAAUCAGCCGCCUGGUUUGCCUCUCUGAAGACGUGUUGUAACAGCGGAUCACCUGCUCUACUCAAUAGGCAUCUGCAAUCAUCAAUCAAAUUAAAGGAACGGUUCUUAUUAUGGAUUAAGUUAAUGAGCUCUUUAUAAUCCAUUUCAAGAUAAGGGGUAGGUAGUUGUCUUCUAUACCUAUUUUCAAACCAUGCAUUAGUGCUAGUGUUUCGAUAUGUAUAUUAGUAGCAUGUGAAAUACCCAUGUUAUAUCCCAACACCCAUUCCCCGUUGUGAUUACGAAUGAUUCCCCCUAUUCCGCCUUUACCUAGAUUGCCCAUACAUGAACCAUCCACAUUUAAUUUAUAGCAGUUUUCUUCAGGUGGAUUCCAUUUAAUGAGGAUGGUUUCCCUAAGUGUAGCAAUCCGGAAUUGAUUUGUUGCUAGAAUUUUAUAUUCGAUCGCUUUAUUAAUGAUGUUUUUUAGUAGAAGAGGUUUGUUAUUAUUUUUGAAUAUCAACUCAUUCAUGUGCAGCCAGAUGUGCUAGAGGAUGAAGGGAAGGACUUCAGACCAGACGAUAUAUUCAUUGAAUAUAGUAGAGGAUUCACAUUGGGUUUUCAGCUAGUGGUGUAAUGUGUAUUUAUCGGGCGGUUCCGGAGGUAGUUUGCUAAAACCCUCUUGAGCCCAAAUAAUUUUGGAGUGCUUGCAUUUAAAGAACAUGUGGAAUAUACCUUCCCUCUCAGUGCUGCAAAAAUGGCAAGUUGGAGAAUUGAUUAUAUUUCUGCUGAAGAGCAUUUAUGCCAUUGGGAGGUAAUUAUGGAUAGCCGUCCAAAGAAAGAACUUUAUCUUGUUGAGAGUUUUGAUUUUCCAGAGCCAUUUAUAGUCAUUGGUGUCCCCCUCAUCCUUAACUUGUAGCAUAGUGGAGGCAGAUUUAAUGGUAAAGGAUCCGUUAGAGUUUAUUCUCCAACUGUAGUUAUCUUGAAUAGGAUGAGCUUGCUUUAUAUAGGUGCUAUAUAUUUUAUUUUUAACUUCAGUGGGGAGUUGGAAUGAUAAAUUAUUCAGAUUGAAGGAAUUAU
This 1172-nucleotide long non-coding RNA is filed under the name Nicotiana benthamiana. RNAcentral's name for it is "long non-coding RNA (NBEN_LNC018266)". Lineage: Eukaryota; Viridiplantae; Streptophyta; Magnoliopsida; Solanales; Solanaceae. The record is from RNAcentral.